GGUUUACCAGAACUGUUGAAGGCGUCCAAACAUGGUGGGAUCAUGUUUUUCCAAAUGACCAACAAUAUGCUGAUGCUAUAGCCCACUUUGAAGAUGAACUCUUUUUAGGCUCAAAAGGUGGCGAGAAGAAAUUAAAAGUCCUUGAGGGAAUGCAAGUGGACUCUAGAUAUGGUAGGCUAUACUGGAACAUUGUGGGCCAAAGAAUUCCUGAGCCCAUUCCUUUAGAAGAUGAAGAUGAUGCUGCCAAUGAUCAAGGGGGUUCUUAUGGGGAUGUCCAUACUAUAGAGGACAUUGAAAUCAUGGGACUAAUUGUAAUAUCCCAAAUUUUUAUAAUUAUUUUAUAAAAUUUAUUUUGUUAUAAUAAGAUUUUAUUCUGAAAAAUAGAGUAAAAUCAUAAUAAAUCAGAUUUUUUUUAUGAAACUGUUUUACUUAUUAAAUUAGAUUUUUAUGGUUUUAAAAAAAAAAAAAAAAAUUUCGAAAUCAGAAUUUUUUUUUAAAUCAGAAUUUUUUUUUCGUUCAAAAGAAAGAUAGAGAGAAAAGAAAAUUCUGAAAUUUUUAAAUACUUAUCUUUUAGUGAAACCCUAGAUUUACAUACAUAUAUAUAUCCCCAAACACCCAAAAAAAUUCUCACGCAAUUCACUUUCUUCAUCUCUUUGGUAAGUUCUAAAUUUCAGAUCUAGAAUCACCAUUGUUGUGUUUCGAAGGUUUCAACCAGAAAAAAAAAAUAUUGUUUUAAAACCCGAUACCGAGACUCCGACGACUUGACCGGAAUCCAGCACGGGUCUUCUUCUUCUUUCUCUUUCUUCUUCCUUUCUCUUUCUUCACCUUUCUUUUCGCGUGCUGUGGGAUGUUUUGAUGCCCAGGUUUUGAUUUUUUUUAAACAAAAAAAGAAAAAGAAAGUGGUACAUGUGCAGCAAGUUCACGUGGGUUGUGACUUGCUGUAUGCUGCCACAUGAAAGUUUUUCAAAAAAAAAAAAAAAAAAAAAUUCUUUUCCCUUUCACAAAUCACAAUGUGAGCAUGGCACGUUUUUUUUGGUUUCAAGUAGAAAGUUUUAGAUUUUUUUUUCGUUUCUUUUCAACCUUCUUAUUAUUAAUCUUGUAAUUUUGAUUAAUUAUUUGCGGGAUAUUAUAUCAAGUGACUAACUUUAGGUAAUAUUAUUUGUUGUAGACGGAAACUUCGUAGGAGGCGAAUUUUAGUUGAUAUUGCUAUACUUGGGAUGCGUGCAAGGUUGGUGAAAGGGACUACGUUGCAGGAAUGAGUGAAUUUAUAGUUUUUAAGUUCACCUAGUUUAAUAAAUGUUAUAGUACUGUUAUUUGGGAUUGUAGUUUUGGAUUGGUUUAAAUUAGACAACUUAGCUGGUUUAUUUUGAUACUUUGGUUUUUGAGUUAAAUUUUUUUUAUUUCUAAUAAUUAGCCUUGCAUUUAUUUUGAACAAUAGAUGCGGCGGUAACACCCUAAAGGUUUGGUCAGAUAUUUUAAUGAAAAG
Long non-coding RNA from Beta vulgaris subsp. vulgaris (sugar beet), 1486 nucleotides. RefSeq lists it as uncharacterized. The transcript has 3 exons. The record is from RefSeq and is a predicted model, not a curated record. Lineage: Eukaryota; Viridiplantae; Streptophyta; Magnoliopsida; Caryophyllales; Amaranthaceae.